Molecule: non-coding RNA, 329 nt
Organism: Cricetulus griseus (Chinese hamster)
Lineage: Eukaryota; Metazoa; Chordata; Mammalia; Rodentia; Cricetidae
Source: RefSeq, a predicted model, not a curated record
CUCGUGGCCAUACUGGAUCCCUCAUUCACUUCGUCAGACAUGAAGAGUAAACUUGGUAGAGUUUUAAGAGGAACAGAGGGAAAAAGCUGAAACUGGCCAGAGUCUUAUUUAAAGAAGGAGCAAUGGAAUGGUUUCAGGAAAAGAGAAAUGCACAACACCCUCCGACCCUGCAGUCGUCUCUGCAGGAAAUGGAUAGUUAUUGAGAAGCUGCGUGGGGCACAGGACAAUGAAUGGCAUUGAGACACACGAAACUGACAUGAAUACAAUACGCCAAACUCAGUGUGUGAUGUACCACGGAAAGUACCUAAUAAAUGAAGUCCCCACCCCUA